This 21-nucleotide microRNA is filed under the name Sarcophilus harrisii (Tasmanian devil). RNAcentral's name for it is "Sha-Novel-14-P2_5p (mature (guide))". The record is from RNAcentral. Lineage: Eukaryota; Metazoa; Chordata; Mammalia; Dasyuromorphia; Dasyuridae.
UGUGCCCAGUGUGGAAAAGGA